AGUAAAGUUACAGUUGUCUUCUAAAUCAUGUAGGAAGUACAAUACUAAGGCUGCGUAUAAUCUCAAACUUUUUAAAAAGUCCUCUAUUUCUUAACCUACUUGACGUUUUACUCUGUAAAUGUGACACAAAUGCUCCAAAAGAAUUAGAUUCUUUUAUUUAAUCCCUUUCAAGAUAGGAAAUUUUCUGACAAAGAACACUUUGUUUGCUACUAGUUUUUUAAGAGAAAUGUUGCAGAUAACAAUUUGGAAGAGGCAACAAAAAUAAUUUCUAAAAGAUAUUUAAAUUCCGAGUCUUUGGGUAGAAAAAGAAAAAAAGUCUCUAAGGAAAAUCAGAUCAUAUCCAUGGAUUUGAAUUUAAAAAUUAUACUGAAUCGACAUUACUGUUUUUCUUCUAUGGAGAAAAAUUCUGUUUAUAUGGGAAAAUAAAUUACCAAGAUCUUAAUCAUGCGCAGCUGAGGAGUCAAUCAGCCGAUUUAAAAAUUAUACUGAAUCGACAUUACUGUUUUUCUUCUAUGGAGAAAAAUUCUGUUUAUAUGGGAAAAUAAAUUACCACGAUCUUAAUCAUGCGCAGCUGAGGAGUCAAUCAGCCGCUAUGUAUGGAUGCCUGGAUAGUGCUAGUUGAAAGAUACUAUGGUUAAAAGCCUGAACAUCAAACAGCGACCCACGCAUCAUUGUAAACUGGUACCUCCAUUAAUUAUACGAAACGAGAAAAUAGCUUCCAACAUAAGGAUGCGUCGUGGUACUGAAACUGGCAAUUUAGCAGCUAUCCAUUACAAAUUAAAACUAGCUGUGAUGAUCCCUGCGAUACAGUGGCUUACGGACCGUCUACUUCUAAUCAGGUAUCAACGCUCCUUUAUGCUUGUGUAGCUUGUUAUGUAAAAACCAAAAAAAAUCCUCACAAAUGCGUCUCUGUUUAAACAGCGGUAUUUAUAGAUUGAAUGUUGGUGGAGGGAGCUUCCCGAUAGGCUGGAAAGUUUUUUGUAAAACUGGCUUAAAUGCAUUGAAAUACUUUGAUACAUUACGACUCUACAUGUGAAAAAAACCGGUAAAACAUUUCUUUUCGCGAACACAAAAGAUGUAGGUAGUCCUGUGAACAAAAAUCUGCUAUAUUUUUCGUUUUUUUUCCAGGGCUGCUUUUACAUCUUGGCUAUAAUAAUCGCCAUAUUCUAUUUGUCUCUGCGCAAAAUGGUACCUCAAGUAGCGAAACACACGAAAUGCGGUAUAUAAAGGACGCACGAACCACCGACUGGUAUAUUAUGAUUCCGCUCAUAAAAAGAGAGUUAGAUUUAUUUCGAGCCACAGUAUGAAACACACAACGAAUAAGACAUCAGACAGACAUAUUCCUACCAUCUGGAGUUCCGGAAUAUAUAUACGAGUUUCCUGAAAAUUUUGGUCUUACCCAAUGUGGCAAGUGUCCUAAAUGACCAGAUUAUAUACUUACCUGCUCGAAUAUUUUAUUAAAAUGGUGUGUUCUAUUUUGUAGGACACACACUUUAAUUACUCAAAUCGUAGUGGCGAUGACUCAAUCAGGUCUUGAUGUCGUUAAAGACGAUUUUCUAAGCACCGAAGACAGAAGAUCAUUACAAAUUUGUUCAAAAAAUCCUCCCGAACUUGAUGCUAAAGAAUUCCUCGAAGCCUACAAAUACCUUUGUACAUGAUAUUAACGGAGCAGUUUAUUAACAACACGUGUUUUAUUACUCAAAAAACAGGGUUUGGAGAAAAUACUGCAUGCUAUGGAGAGGAGACGUACUCGCAUGUCAUCAUGGUUUAACUUUUCGCUGGUUGUUUGAUUG
This is a long non-coding RNA of Hydractinia symbiolongicarpus, 1793 nucleotides long. RefSeq lists it as uncharacterized. The transcript has 5 exons. Lineage: Eukaryota; Metazoa; Cnidaria; Hydrozoa; Anthoathecata; Hydractiniidae. The record is from RefSeq and is a predicted model, not a curated record.